This 292-nucleotide long non-coding RNA is filed under the name Medicago truncatula (barrel medic). RNAcentral's name for it is "long non-coding RNA (MTRU_LNC003155)". The record is from RNAcentral. Lineage: Eukaryota; Viridiplantae; Streptophyta; Magnoliopsida; Fabales; Fabaceae.
CCACUGCUGCCCUCGCCGUCGUCAUUUUUGCCACAUGUUCCAUUUGUCUCUGGGAUCAAAGGGGUGUCUGGCCAAGGUCCAUGUAUAAGGGUUGUUUCUUUUUUGACAAUUUUUUUUUUAUAACUAUGUUGCGUUAUGAGUACGAGGUAUUUAUCGUUGUUUAAUACCCCCAAUGUUAAAGGAUUCGUUGGACAUUCAAAAUCUAUUCUACCACUAAAUAGAGAAAGAGAGUAAAAUAAAAAAUGUUUGUAUAUGAGUGAUGUGAUAGAGAAAAUAAGGUGUUGAAUGAGUG